UACGAAGGGUGCUAGCGUUGUUCGGAAUCACUGGGCGUAAAGCGCGCGUAGGCGGCUUAGCAAGUCAGAGGUGAAAUGCCAGGGCUCAACCCUGGAACUGCCUUUGAAACUGCUAGCUAAGAGUGUCGGAGGGGAUAGCGGAAUUGCUAAUGUAGAGGUGAAAUUCGUAGAUAUUAGCAGGAACACCGGUGGCGAAGGCGGCUAUCUGGACGACAACUGACGCUUAGGCGCGAAAGCGCGGGGAGUCAAACAGGA
RNAcentral lists this ribosomal RNA (255 nucleotides) under uncultured bacterium. RNAcentral describes it as "partial 16S ribosomal RNA". It matches the Rfam family "Bacterial small subunit ribosomal RNA", at positions 524 to 777 of the family's 1533-position model. The record is from RNAcentral.